Molecule: ribosomal RNA, 253 nt
Filed under: uncultured bacterium
Lineage: Bacteria
Description: partial 16S ribosomal RNA
Rfam family: Bacterial small subunit ribosomal RNA
Source: RNAcentral
UACGGAGGGUGCAAGCGUUGUCCGGAUUUAUUGGGGUUAAAGGGUGCGUAGGCGGCUAUUUAAGUCAGUGGUGAAAUCCUGCAGCUUAACUGUAGAAUUGCCAUUGAUACUGGAUAGCUUGAGUACAGACGAGGUAGGCGGAAUUUAUGGUGUAGCGGUGAAAUGCAUAGAUACCAUAAAGAACACCUAUUGCGAAGGCAGCUUACUAGGCUGUAACUGACGCUGAGGCACGAAAGUGUGGGGAUCAAACAGG